GACGAACGCUGGCGGCGUGCUUAACACAUGCAAGUCGAACGGGUCUGCCCUGUUUUUUGCGGGGUGGGUCAGUGGCGAACGGGUUAGUAACACGUGAGUAACCUGCCCCUCACUUCUGGAUAACCGCUUGAAAGGGUGGCUAAUACGGGGUGUUCUGGCUGUGCCGCAUGGUGUGGCUGGGAAAGAUUCACUUUUGUGGUGGUUUGGUGGGGGAUGGGCUCGCGGCCUAUCAGCUUGUUGGUGGGGUGAUGGCCGGCCAAGGCUUUGACGGGUAGCCGGCCUGAGAGGGUGGGCGGGCACAAUGGGACUGAGAGACGGCCCAGACUUCUGCGGGAGGCAGCAGUGGGGGGUAUUGCACAAUGGGCGGAAGCCUGAUGCAGCGACGUCGCGUGAGGGAUGGAGGCCUUCGGGUUGUGAACCUCUUUCGCCGGUGAAGAAGGUCCUGCUCUUUGUGGUGGGGUUGACGGUAGCCGGGUUAUGAAGCGCCGGCUAACUACGUG
RNAcentral lists this ribosomal RNA (500 nucleotides) under uncultured bacterium. RNAcentral's name for it is "partial 16S ribosomal RNA". It matches the Rfam family "Bacterial small subunit ribosomal RNA", at positions 28 to 507 of the family's 1533-position model. The record is from RNAcentral.